AUUGAACGCUGGCGGCAUGCCUUACACAUGCAAGUCGAACGGCAGCGCGGACUUCGGUCUGGCGGCGAGUGGCGAACGGGUGAGUAAUACAUCGGAACGUACCCUGUUGUGGGGGAUAACUAGUCGAAAGAUUAGCUAAUACCGCAUACGACCUGAGGGUGAAAGUGGGGGACCGCAAGGCCUCACGCAGCAGGAGCGGCCGAUGUCUGAUUAGCUAGUUGGUGGGGUAAAGGCCCACCAAGGCGACGAUCAGUAGCUGGUCUGAGAGGACGAUCAGCCACACUGGGAUUGAGACACGGCCCAGACUCCUACGGGAGGCAGCAGUGGGGAAUUUUGGACAAUGGGGGCAACCCUGAUCCAGAAAUGCCGCGUGUGUGAAGAAGGCCUUCGGGUUGAAAAGCACUUUUGUCCGGAAAGAAAUCGCGCUGGUUAAUACCUGGCGUGGAUGACGGUACCGGAAGAAUAAGCACCGGCUAACUACGUGCCAGCCGCCGCUGUAU
This 500-nucleotide ribosomal RNA is filed under the name uncultured bacterium. RNAcentral's name for it is "partial 16S ribosomal RNA". It matches the Rfam family "Bacterial small subunit ribosomal RNA", at positions 30 to 523 of the family's 1533-position model. The record is from RNAcentral.